This 230-nucleotide long non-coding RNA is filed under the name Gallus gallus (chicken). Lineage: Eukaryota; Metazoa; Chordata; Aves; Galliformes; Phasianidae. The record is from RNAcentral.
AGAGGAGAGGAGAGGAGAGGAGAGGAAAAAUAUUAUUUGACGAGGAGGGGAAAUUGAAACAGUGGAGUUGAGGGGGCUAAAUUUUAUGGAGUGCAGUGGACAAAAACUGCAUGUAGCGGUGGGAAAAGAAAUGGAGUGGCGUGGUGGGAAAUGAAAUAAACUGAAUAGAGUUUAAUGAAAUGAAGCAGAGUGGAGGAAAAUAAAUUGUGAGUUAAAGAGGGGAAUUAAAA